Molecule: long non-coding RNA, 1331 nt
Organism: Esox lucius (northern pike)
Lineage: Eukaryota; Metazoa; Chordata; Actinopteri; Esociformes; Esocidae
Source: Ensembl
CUAAGAUGAGAAAAUGUGGUCUUUGUGACGGUCUCUCCUGGCACUCUACCUCUCCAAACAUUCUGCAUUUUGGCAGUGCACAAGGUUCUGUUGUACCCAGUAAAGAAUGAUGUGCCUAGCACAAACGCCCAAGGAACUAUGGUUAAAGAAUGACACCACCCAAUUCUGAUUGAGUCACACACAUCACUAAUGUUGACAAAACUUUUAACAAGAACUAUUACCAGGUUUUAGGUUUACCAGACAGAAACAUGAUUUGAACAAUGAAAAAGACAUGCUGCACAGAUAAUUGUAAAGUCCUUUUACAAUCCUUUUGGAAUCAGGGCGUUCUCCCGGGGACACAGCCUAGAGUUCUGUCACCAAGAAUGACUGUUGUCUGAUUUGUUCCAGAACUUCCUCCUGGUUCCUUGGAGCUCCUGAGAUCAAAACAAAAGAACAUCUGGUAGAAUCUUCAAAUGCAGCACGGACUUGAUUGACAGAUAUGUAUUGAAGAAGGCACAAGGAACGAGCAGCAGAUACAAAGCUCUGUAGGCCGCCAGCAGGAUGGAGUAGACAUCAGAUACACCGACACAACCUUGACCAGAUGGACAAGGACAGGGACAGCAAUGGGCUCCCCAAACCAGAUGUGCACCUCGACGCUAGACCUUCCCUGUCACGUCACAGGACAUGAGUUUCUGAGAGAAAGACCACGAGCUGAAAAUGUUCCACUCAAUUGAACCAAUCACUGCUCUGCUGCCCUUUAAUGGUGAAGUCGAUCUAGUCACUAUCACGGAAAUACACACCAGCGACUCUCUGACACCAUUCAGACCCUGCUACUCUCUGACAACAUCAGACCCUGCUACUCUCCGAUAACAUCAGAACCUGCUACUCAGACAGAUGGACAGGUUGGGGGUUGCUCUCAUCACAAUCUCAUGUGAGUAAACUAAUACAGCUCCGGAAGAAAUUAAGAGACCAUUGCACCUUUUUCAUUCCUUUCCAAAAAAGUCGAAAAGGAAGGUUUUGAGUGAGGAACAGAAGGGUAAAUAUUAAGAGACCACUGCAAAUUGAACGCUGCUGUUCCACACUCAAAACUUUCCUUUUUAACUUUUUUGGAAAGGAAAGUAAAAGGUGCAGUGGUCUCUGCAUUUUUUCCAGAGCUGCAUAGCCAAGAACGUUUAUCGUAAACUGCAACAAUUGAAUCAUAUAUAGUUGAUUUUACCAGAUUUACAUUAACAUGUACAUCAGCAUGAAAAAGCUCGUUCGUGAAGAGAAGUCUUCGUCAAGUCAUAUUAAGAUGACUUCCAUGUUAUCUGUUCAUUUUGGAGUUGAGUUUCAUCUCAACAGGCAUGUUUUGU